UACAUAUUGUUUCGUUCAGGUGUUCUAUCUUCGAAGACAAAGAUAGAGCUUAAUAGGGAAUCCGGUGCGAAACCGGAGCGGUCCCGCCACUGUAUGGGCGAGCCGCAAUCCGAAAAGCCACUGGUUAAGCUGAACGCGAGCCGGGAAGGCGGAUUGCCGGCGAUGACCCCGAGCCAGGAGACCUGCCUGAACGUUGAUGGACAC
This 204-nucleotide non-coding RNA is filed under the name Paenibacillus sp. RNAcentral also lists the same sequence under 1 other name. The record is from RNAcentral. Lineage: Bacteria; Bacillati; Bacillota; Bacilli; Caryophanales; Paenibacillaceae.